AUAGACCUAAUAUCAAAUGGACAGGCCCUUAGAGAGAAAUUCUGGCAUGCCGCAUAUGAAAGAGAGAGAUGGAGCUAGAUGAGUCAAUGUCAAAAUCAUAUGAUCAAAACAUUGAACUCACAUUCAGAAAAUCGCUAAUUUUUCUCUCAUUCUGAAUUGAACACAUAGUUAAUUUGAUUGAUUCGAUUUGUAAAAGUGUUGAACAUUCUAAUAAAAGGAAUUAGCGAAUCCAUCUGCUAUUACGAAAUUAAGCACCAAAAGAACUAAUUUUCAAAUAAUAUGCCUCACACUCGUGCAGCCUUCAAUUGUACAGCGAGAAUAGAAAAAAGCCAAAAGUUGAAAUUUCAUUCUUCACAGUUUUCCAAAGGAUGACAAAUUAAGGGAACAGUGGAUGAAAGCUGAAGAAGAAUUGAUUUCAACCCUUUUUCCUUGUUGAAAAUAUGCAGCAACCGUUUUCAUCAACAUGAUUUAUUAAUAUUCAUGGUACAAAAACUCUGAAAAAAGAUGUUAUUCCUUCAGUUUUCAGUUUCUCCAAUUAUAUGCCUGAGAGAUUAAAUUAUGGAGAUAAAUGUCUUGAAGAUAAUAUUGAAGAAAUUGAACAGGACCAGCCAGAGACAAAACAGCAAGAGAUGGGGCAACCAGAGACGGUACAACUGUUUAUAAUAUCAAAAUCCUCUGCUGCUGCCAUGGAAGAUUUUCCCCCCAGAUUGAAUACUAAUAUUAGAAAUACUAGAAAUUAGAAACCUGGGAAUGAGGAUUUCCAAGAAUGGAACACUAGACGAAGUACUAUCUGAGAGAAACAUCCAAAGAAAACCAAUAAUCUCAAUGUUAAAUAGGAUAUUAUCGAUUAAAAACAUAAAUGUGAAUAGGUAAUAAGAAAAAAUUUACUCAAUAGUUAGGAACAUAAUAACAUACAGCUCUGAAGUGGACAGCAGCUAGAAAAUCUGAAAGGGACAUGAUACCAAAUGAUACAAUAAGACAUAUAAUGGAAAUUAUUGAUCUUAAGAACACAACAGUUGGUUUGGUACAGACAAGUCCAUAAAUACUUAUGAUACUAGGUGUGAUUUAAACAAUAAUAAUUUUGAAAUUUUCAGUUUUUUAGAUUGCCAUACUAAAUGAGGAACAUAUUCUGUGCCGUGGCUUAAAAAUUCAUCUUUAGAGAAGCCCAUUCAAUGAAAGGCUGAAAAUGGGUAUCUUGAAUUGUUAUUUAGUUGAAAAUUACUUUCAACGUAUGAGAACAACAACUUAUAACGUUAUGAUAUGUAUUUUUCAGGAAAAAUGAAUGUAUCAUAACUGAUCCUUGGAGAGAUAAGGAGAAGAAGACCCAUAAAUUUCAAGAUUUGGAGGAGUUUAGAACUAAGAAGAGGUAGAGCUUAAUCCUGAUAUUUUUCAAUAUCAUGGAUAUUAAAUGAUUGGGAGAGUGAAUAUCCUCCUUAGUGGAGUGAGAAAUCCGACUGCCAAUAUGUUCUUCCUCAUGCGCUGAUAGGCUAGAGUCGGACCAUUUUUCAAAUCAUUUAUUGUAAUAAUGUAUUUUGAACAGCAAUAAAAACUUAAUGAAUACAAUUCUUCAUAAACUCUCUUUUUUUUAAUUGCCUGUGUUAUCUGGAAACAAUUUUUUGAAAGAUUUUACUAUUAUCAAAUUGAUAAGUGACUUGAACUAAACUAGUUGGAAGUAAUACAAAAUUGAAGAAUGAAAUGUAAUAGACAUAACUGAUUGUAUUUAAACGAUAAAAUUGUU
Harmonia axyridis is the source of this 1738-nucleotide long non-coding RNA. RefSeq lists it as uncharacterized. Lineage: Eukaryota; Metazoa; Arthropoda; Insecta; Coleoptera; Coccinellidae. The record is from RefSeq and is a predicted model, not a curated record. The transcript has 5 exons.